GACGAACGCUGGCGGCGUGCCUAAUACAUGCAAGUCGAACGAAGCUGUUUUAACUGGUGCUUGCACCGACUUAAACAACUGAGUGGCGAACGGGUGAGUAACACGUGGGUAACCUGCCCCAAGGCGGGGGAUAACAUUUGGAAACAGAUGCUAAUACCGCAUAAUCACAGAAACCACAUGGUUUCUGUGUCAAAGAUGGUUUCGGCUAUCACUUUGGGAUGGACCCGCGGCGUAUUAGCUAGUUGGUAAGGUAAUGGCUUACCAAGGCAAUGAUACGUAGCCGAACUGAGAGGUUGAUCGGCCACAUUGGGACUGAGACACGGCCCAAACUCCCACGGGAGGCAGCAGUAGGGAAUCUUCCACAAUGGACGAAAGUCUGAUGGAGCAACGCCGCGUGAGUGAAGAAGGUUUUCGGAUCGUAAAACUCUGUUGUCAGAGAAGAACGUGUGCGAGAGUAACUGUUCGUGCAGUGACGGUAUCUGGCCAGAAAGCCACGGCUAACUACGUGCCAGCAGCCGCCGUAA
RNAcentral lists this ribosomal RNA (524 nucleotides) under uncultured bacterium. Its description in RNAcentral is "partial 16S ribosomal RNA". It matches the Rfam family "Bacterial small subunit ribosomal RNA", at positions 28 to 523 of the family's 1533-position model. The record is from RNAcentral.